AGGCGGUCGGAUAGCCGCGUCAGGGAAAGGAAAAUCCACUGAUGAGGAAAGUCCGGGCUUCAUGGAAACAAAACACCGGAUAACGUCCGGCUGGAGAAAUCCAAGGGAAAGUGCCGCAGAAAAUUACCGCCGGGCGUGCCCGGUAAGGUUGAAAAGGCGAGGUAAGAGCUCACCGCGGAAUCGGCAACGGUUUCGGCGUUAGGUAAACCCUGUUUGAAGCAAGACCAAGUUAGGAGGGCCGGUUUACUGACCGGUUAUACGGAGCGUUUCCACUCUGCUCCAGAGGUAGGUCGCACUGAGCGGUCCGGCAACGGCUCGCCAAGAUGAAUGGCUAUCAAUUCCAACCUUUGCUUUCGGGCAAAGAUAGUGGGAUACAGAACCCGGCUUACAGACUGCCUGU
Molecule: RNase P RNA, 400 nt
Filed under: human gut metagenome
Description: Bacterial RNase P class A
Rfam family: Bacterial RNase P class A
About the family: Ribonuclease P (RNase P) is a ubiquitous endoribonuclease, found in archaea, bacteria and eukarya as well as chloroplasts and mitochondria. Its best characterised activity is the generation of mature 5'-ends of tRNAs by cleaving the 5'-leader elements of precursor-tRNAs.
Source: RNAcentral